RNAcentral lists this long non-coding RNA (19980 nucleotides) under Coffea arabica (coffee). RNAcentral's name for it is "long non-coding RNA (CARA_LNC004936)". Lineage: Eukaryota; Viridiplantae; Streptophyta; Magnoliopsida; Gentianales; Rubiaceae. The record is from RNAcentral.
UUUUUUUUUUUUUUUUUAUGUUGGGGCUGUGUGCUUUAAUAUCCCUUGUUUGGCUGGGCCCCCAUGCACACGCCACAUUAAAAGUCCCGCAUGAUUAUCAAUUUCAUUUGUUCUCUGUAAUGUACUCGUACAAUUUUUCAAGCAACAAUUGUGAAUUAGAUCUAUCCAAAAAAAAAAAAACCACUUUUGAAUUAGAAAAUAUUAGAGGCAAAAGGACUAGAGACAUUGAAGGGGUCUAAUAGUUAUUUCCUAUGGACAGGAGUAAUUGUUCAAAAUUGUAAGAGUGCCUGGAGUUAAUUCCUAUAGAUAGUAGAGUUUCCAUCCGUUUCUGUCCCACGUUUUAUUGUAUUACUAUUUUUCUUUCAUAAACAUCAUAUCUUAAUUUUUUUUAUUUCUUUAAGAUUCAAUACUAUUAAUUAAUUAAUACACAAAAUUAAACAAACUCAAAAAAUCAAAAUGCAUAAAAAAUGAGAUUUUUAAUGAAUUUUUUGCUUUAUUUUUUAUUUUUUUAUUAUAUAUUACAUUUUUUGAGAUUGUUGUAUUUAUUUUUUACUCAAUUAAUUAUUAUUAGAUUUUAAAGAAAGAAAAAAAGAAUCAAAAUAUAAUAUUUAUAAAAAAAUAAUAGUAUAAUAAAAAAUGUGACAAAGAUCGACACUUUACAAAAAAUGAGACAGAAAAUUCACUGCUUCAAAAAAAAAAAAACCUGUUGUGGUCUGUUUGGAUUGUAAGUUAUUUGGGAAUAUUUGGGAUAUUUUUAUUGUAGCACUUUUUGUGAUGUGAUGUAUGUGAGAUAAAAAGAAAUUGGGAAGAUAAAAAGAUGUAUUGGAAAUUGUAAAGAUGAUGUAAGCAAAUAAAAUUAGAGAAAUACGAAGCAAUCCAAACAAACCUACGUGGUCCAUUUUGUAGAGUUUUAUUGAUUUUGAAUACUGCAGCAGCAGUUAGUGACCUUUACUCAACUGCAUGGGGAGUUCUUUGUGUUCCAAGGCAAUAAUAUCCAAAAGACUGUUUGUAAGCCAAGGCUUAGCAUCCAGUUGGUUGUAAGCCAAGUGUUGUUCCAUUAUCUGAAACAGAGAGAUAUCUCCUGAGGAAAUACAUUUCCCAAAACAAUAAACCCUUCACAAUGGCAGAUUGCACUACUGUUUUAUUUCUUAGUAGUAUUUCUUUAUGCCAAUUCCGAAAGUCAUUUGGGUUGGAUCCCGCUUCAUCAUCAGCACUACGUACUAACAGUAGUAGUAUCUUUUUUUUCGCACUCCAAGAAUUAUUAUUUAUUAUUGGAGGAGAAGAAGCAGAUUCCAACAAUCUAGGGAUGAAAAGCCGGUUAUUAGUAAACCAAAGAUUCCAAGUGGGGUCUUCUUGGUGGUUCCGACAAAGACAUAUAUAGUACCAUCAUCCAUAAUCAGGCUGUUUAGACUAAUUCCCGGAUGGAGAUACCAUAUCCACUUUGUUUUUGCAGACCACCCGGUCCGUGCAAAUUAUAACCUUACAAGUUCCUUGCAAAUCAACCUUUUAUCUAAAAUAUCACAAGAUUCACCCAUUAUCCAAAAGAAUCAACGAUUAUACUUGAAGCUAACAAGUAGUAGUCAGUAUUUUUCAACCCCUAGUAGUGGUUCAGUCCCAUCAAGUUCUCCCGAUCCACUAGAGUAGGCUCCCCCUCUGAGUAGGAGUAGAAGUAGAUUGGAUUAGGUUAAAUGUAAGUUCCUCCGAUCUUCUAGAAUAGGCUUCCCCUCUGAGCAGGAGUAACAGUAGGUUAUGUUAAAUUAGACGUGCAGUUACGUAAAUUAAAAAAAAAAGAAAAGAAAAAAGUAGUAGUAUUUUUCCCAGAAAACUGUUCUCGACGACAAACACCAGAUGUAGCAACCGACAUCAGUCAUUCUUCGUUGACCGUCUGUUGCUUUAGUCUGUACAGAAUAAUAGUAGCACCAUCCGCAAAGAGAUACUGGUCCGAACAUUGGCUUUACAUAUAGUAGUGAUUACUGAAACCUCAGUUCAAACUGUUCAAAGUCCAAACAUCAUCCUAGUCGUUAUCUAUUCCACUUCCAUUCUCCGCAAUCAAACAAAUGCUUGGACUUGGAGGAAAUCGAAUAGUUGCCAAAGAAUAAAUGCAAAUUUACAUACAAUUAUCGGGCAGGAUCAUCGCGACAGGAACAAACAAAAGAUUCAAAAGAAAGAACCAAUCUGCAAGCCAAUUCCUUAGAUAAGAUAGGCGGCAUACGAUACGAGUACCAAAUGGCAAAUGGAUGAUUCCUAAUGGUUAGGUGAAUUGAUCCCAGUAGCAAUACCAGGUACUACUUCCCAAUUUACAUGCAUCUAAGAUUCUAAGAAUUAAACUACAAAGACGACGACAAAAGUCACCACCAAUUACAGAAACUUGAAAGCCAACCUCCCUCGGAACCAAAAGAAGGCCGCUCUCAAGUCUCAACUCAACUCCAAAUAAUAAUAAUAUUAUUGUUAAUAAUAUCAUCAGCAUCUCAUCAGAUAAACCAAAUUUCAGCUCUCCUCCGCACCACCACCUGCAGACUGAGGCUGCACCUUCCUAGGCCUACCUCUAGGCCUCCCAGUUUUCGACACAGCAGGCUGAGCGGAAGGGGCAACCGGCUUCGGCUUCUUAGGAGCAGGUUCUGCAUUGGGGUCCUUUUUUGGGCGGCCACGAGACUUUGGCUCAGAAGGCACCACUGCCCCUGGAGCCAGAGGAUCCUUAGGCUUUGGGGGCCGGCCACGGCCCCGCCUCGGACGGGCAGUGGGAUCAGGAAUCAGGUAAUUGUUCUUGAAGAAAACAAGUUCACCAGUAUCUUUCAUUCUGGUUAAAUGGGCUGAAAGCAAGUUCGAAUGUCCAGCUGGCAAGUCUCCAUAUCUUGAUUCUAUGUAUUUGGAAAUUGCUGUCUUGUUCGCACCAUCUUUUUGCUGCAAUGCACUCAUGGCUUCAAAAAUCAUCUGCGACAGAAAUUCCGCUCUUUUAAUCGAACUUGGGAAAAGGAAAAAGGGAAAAAUGCAGUAAAUUUGAAAUAUUGGGGAGUGGUCCAAACUGACGGUAUACCAGCAACUUUAGAGUUGGACAUCACACAUUUUUAGCUGCAAAUGCAACAGGGUCACAUAAAAAUCGUUUCUUUAGUUCCCCUUUAAAAAAAAAAAAAAAAAAGGGGAAUUUCUUUUCUUUUUCUCUCCCCCACUUUCAGAAAAUUUCAUAAAAUAUCCAUUUUCAAUUUUUGGAUGAAGAACAGUAAUUCAGUAGAAAAAGCAAAAUUCAGGUAAAAAAUUAAAAAUCCAAGCACGAAAGAUAAAACAGCAAUCUUUUUUUUUUUUUUUUUUUUUUGCUUUUUCUCCCUAAAUAUGGAAAGAAGAUCAGACAGAAAAAAGGGAUCAUCCUUAAAUCUGAAAAACCUACACGAAUUUCAUCUGGAAAUCAGAAGAAGAAACCUAAAACUUACGAAAUUUUAGCAGAUUUGUGAAAUUAAAAACACACUAAAGGGGUCAGCUCAAUUUCUUAGCAGUACAUGCACAAGAAUAAGGGGCAAAAAAUUUUGAAAUUUGAUGGGGAAUUUUCUGGAUUUGGGUUGUGGCUUUCUUUUACCUGUGGGUAUGAAGGGAGCGAGGGAGGUUUACCAACUUCAGUCGCCAUUGAAACAGCUUCUUCGCCGACUGAGAGUGUGUGUGUGUGUGUGUGUGUGGAGUGUGUAAAUUUUGUCAAGAGUCCAAAACGAGAAGACAGUGGAAUAGGUAUUUCUUUUAGCUGGGGGUUUUCUAGUUUAUGUUAUGCCCGGACAAAACGGGCUAAGCCCACUAAAAUAGACAUUAAAAUUUCCACCUAAUUCCUUUCAGAAAAAACUUAUCACCUAAUUAUCACCUAUAUACUUUCUCCAAACAAUUUUGCCAAAAUCAUUAAUGUGACAUAGAAAUAUGAUAGAACCCACUGUUUAGAUUUUUCAACUUUUUUAUUCAAAUUUAAUGUCCCAAUAAUUCUUUUAAUUUAUAAAAGAUAUACUUUUAUUCCAUGAACUCUAUUCUGUACUAAUGACACAAUAAUUUUUUUUAAUUAAAGUACAAAAAUUAACAUUUCGAGAUCAAAAUAUAGUACAAAAGGACCUUGCUUACGUAUACUCGUAUUUGCAAAAUCAAAGAAAAAAUAAGGAGUCUAUUUGGUUAUUAUAAUUUGCAUAAAAAAAUACUAUUCACUUUGUAUUAUCUUUUUAUUUCAUAUACAUUAUAAUAUAUAAAAAAAAGUGCUACACCGUUCUUUCAAACAAUUUUUUCCAAAUAAUGUCAUAUCCAUUGGGAGAAUGUGGAUGGUUGAGAUUGGAGGAAAGGAAAAGCAUUGGAGGGUGAGAAUCAUUUGAUGGAGGAUUCAGAUGGAUUGGAUUGGUGACGUGCAUAAGGAAGCAAUUUUGGAUGAAUUGCAUUGCAUGAAGGGGUUUGGUUUGUCCUGAGUGUGACUAAUUAGUUCUAAAUUUUAAUUCCUUUGGUACAAUUCUUUACCCUAAACAACGCUUUAAGUUGAGGCUAUUAUUUGUCGUAGAAGAGAAGUAUAAAGGGAAAUGAAGGUAGCAUAAUACACUGGGGGGCAAGAUACAUUCAUUCGAGGAUGGAAAUUUGGCUAAAAUCAGAUAAACAAGUUAAAAGAAACUGAUUGAAAGUUUGGGUUUUUGGAAAUAAAAUAUAAACAGAACCAAGAAUGUUUAUCGCUUAAGUAGCAUGUAUACAUGGAGCCAAUGCAAAAACAAUUUCAGAUUGAUCUGUAAAAGUUUUUCGUGUGAAAUAAGUUGUUCACCUUCUUUUCUUUUCUUUUCUUUUUUUUUUUUUUUUUUUGGGUUUGGGUUUGGGCGAGUAAGGAUUUAUCAGUGCCUGAUGAGAUGCAAAUACAGAAUACAAAAGGCGUGCCCGAGGCACAAAACCAGAAACUCACAAAACGCAUAUUUUAUCAUUGCACAAGUCUCUCACAAACUAAUUAUCAAAACCUCCCAACUUGAAGCAUUUAAUAGGUAAAAAUCUGAUGAGGUGAUAACCAAACCCCUUGGAGCCAUUAGUUUGCGUUGUUCUUCUUAAAUUUAUAGGGAGAACAACUUAAUAAUAUCUUACUCACUCAAAAUUCUGCUUUUUAAUUGGUCUAUUAUAGAGGUGGGCAAAAUUACAUGUGGAUCCAAAAACUCGUUAUACCCAAUCCGAUUUGAUCCAAGAAAUGGAGUACCUGAUCCGUAUUAUUUGACCUGGUCAAAAGAGAGACUGAUACAUGCUUAUAUGCGGGUAGAAUUGUGUCACAGGAUUAAGGACCUGUGAGUACUCGACCCUCCUGUGUGUAUAUAUAUAUAUAUUUUUAUUUUUAUUUUUAUAAUAUACUAUAAAAUAAUAUUUUUUUGAUCUAAUUAAGUAAUUUCAUUGAAUAAAUCACACUACAAAUAUGAGAGAUUAUAGUUUGUUUACAAGAUUUAUUUAUAGAGAUCAUGAUCUUAUGUGUUUUAGAAAAGAGUUUAAUUGAUGUAAUAUAUAUAUAUAUAUAUAUAUAUAUAUCUUUAAAAAGGUACUACUUAUUUUAGAUUUUCAUUUAUUUUGAAUCCUUUUAAUUCUUUUCCUUUUUCUUAUAUUCUCUUUGCACGUUUGUUCUUGGCAAGAGACUUUUUCUGAAAAAACUUUGCUAAAUUUUAGAUGAAUAUGUAAAAUAUAAAAUUAAAUUAAUAUAAAUUAUUUUUUAAAAAAAUAACCAGCAGGACGAGAAGGAUACCGUUAACCUAACCAUAUCUCAACAACAGGUAUCCGAUAAUCAGAUACCAACUAAUAUGCGAAAUAGCUAAGGAUCAAAAAAUAACUUAAUCGGAAGAUACGAGUCAAAUCAGCCAAAUGGUACCCGACCCAUGCCAUGUGUUCUUUCCAAAUGCAAUAUACAGUAACUGCCAAAAGAACUCUACCAUGGUUGUUCACCUUCUUGCUGCUAAUAGCUUUGUAUCGUGAUCUAAUUUUUACUUCUAAAGAUUAAAUCAUGUCACUUCAAUGAUAUUAUGAAAAGUUGAAACCAACACACGGUUCGCAUUCUUUACAAAUUGGCUGAGUUUUUUAAAGAUAAUUUUGGGUUAGUUAUUUUGCUUUACAUGAUGAAAUGCACGUUUGUGUGACUUAAUACGGCUUUUUGAUAUACAAGGUAGUUAAGUUUUGUUCUCAUAAUGGGUGUUUGAACUAAAACAUUCCUAAUCUUCUAGCUGUCCAUGUACUCGAGAGCAAUAUUCAACAUAUAGAAGAUAGUUUUGCCACCCCUCACCCUCCUCCCUCUUUAAUUUUUUUCUUUCCUUCCCUUUUUUUUUUUUUGGUUGGGAGAAAACCUUUCUUUCUAUUUCUUUUAAUCUCAGUAUAUUAGUUCCAAAGUCACAGGUAACAGGUCACUCCUUACACCACUAGACUUGAUUGGGGAAAUUUAUGAAUUAUGAUCAACCAACGAUGCAGCAGCUCCUUUACUAUCUAGAGUAAGAAUUUAGAAUCCCCCCUAAUCUGUAUUAUCUUCAUUCCUCUCCGGCUCCUCUCCUGGUGUUUGGUUCACCAUGAACCUCCAGUUGUCUCCCUCCUCUAUUUCCCACUGCCUUUUCAAUUCAUUGAUGGUUCUAGAUGCUGCAGCAGCAAUUGCAGGAUUGCUAUCUUCAGCCAGUCUCUGUAGGCGGGAGAAUAAAAGGACCCUUAAUAGGAUGUGGACGUAUGAGAUGGCUAAAAGAAUGAAAAGGAAAAGAAGGGGAAGGAAGCAGCCAGAAGAAAGCUAAAAAUACCUGCAAGGCUCCCAUCCCUGCAUUUCCAAGAGUCCACAUUGAUGGAGCAGCUGAUAAUGCAUUUGCUAAUGCUUUCCUGUACGUCAGAAUUUUCAGAAGAAUAAAGAAAUGUACUAUCAUCACAGCUAAAUAAACCAAAUUCUGUAACGAGAAUACAAACAAAAGAUUAGGAAUCAAUAUAAGCAGGAACAAAUUGUAAGCUUGAAAUUAGUUCCUACUCCCCACUGAGGCUUACUGUCAGAGUUGCUCAACUACCAGUCAAUUCCCUCAGAAUAUUAUUUGCUGGAGCAAAUUAACCAGGUACCCAGUGAACUUUUUGAAUAGUUAAGAUUUGGCUAUUCAACUAUUAAUAAUAAUAUGCUUUUAUCCACUGAACUAUCAAACGUACAAAUUUUGGUUCAUUCCGUCUGAUUCCACCAUUAACUUUGCCAGAUUUAAUGGUCUGCACAAUUCACGAGACAUACUUUGAAUAGUUAGGUAUGAUAGAACUAAUGGUGAAAUUAGAUGGAAUGGCCCAAAAUUUACUUACACUUUUGAUAGUUUAGUGAGUACUAACAUACUAUUAAUAGUUGAGUUGGCUAUUCGAAAAGUUUAGUGGCUACUCGGGCAAUUUGCUCUUAUUUGCUGUAAUGUAUGGUAUAUUAGAUGCAUUUCAGUUAUCAAUUUAUGGUGAUGGCAGACUUGGAUCCUAGCAGUAGACAUAUUUCUUACGGGCUAAGAGACUUCGAUUUGAUUAUAGAAAUUGGAGAGUAUAAACCAACAAUUAAGCUGACUAGCAACUGAAACUCUUGUCCAAUAAAGAAUAGAAAAACAAUGAAUUUAAGGAAUGGUUCAAAGUCAUGGUAGAGAGGUCAGGGGAAGUGACUCUGAGUUACAUGAUUAGCCAAAAAAGAGGUGAAACGUUCUAGACUGCAUAAGCUGUUUGGAUCAAACCAUCACAAGGGCCAAGGACUAAACCAAACUUACCCAAAAUGAAGCUACAUUAGUGCAAGAUCCUGUAUAUCAAGCUAAAGAAUUGUCUAACAGCAUAGAUGAACUGACCUGUUAUUCUAAUAAUAUGCACGAUAUUAAGAUUUCAACCACCACCUUGCUUAGACUGCUCUAGAAAUGCCGAAAACUAAGCGUCCUAAUUGAUUGUCUACACAUAUACUUGUACAAAUAUAAAUACAGGACUAUUUUCAAAUUUUUUCUAGAAGAUGGGGAAUAUGCAGCUGAAUGCAUUAUGAAACUGUUUUAAAACAUUUUAAUAUGGCAGUAUAUUCCCUCUCCAUGCUAGAACCUAGUAGAAUUUUUAAUCUCCUAGUGGUACUGCAUAGCAAAAGUAGAAUUUUCACCACAAAAAUGAAAUGAUGGACUGUAAUUCAAUUGAUCCUAUGCUAUCAUUACCUGGUUUGGACAUUAGGGGAGCUUGAACACUCUGCCAACAGCGAGACACUGCUUUUGCCAUCCAUUGCGUCCAGAUCUAUCAGAGUGGCAACCAAGAACUCUAGCUGUUCCAAACAGAAAAUAGGACGUACAUGGCUAAGAAAUUUGUCUGAACUCCAUCAAGCACAUUAACAACUUUAAAGCAAGCAAUCCCGUACAUCAUACCUCCUCAGGAUCAGUAUAGUCAAUUCCAUCACCUUCUGACAGUGCAGAUGCUAUGCUCAAAUAAGCAUCCUGUACAUCCAUCAUGAAGAUCUCAAGUGAUACAUGUUAUAACCUUCUCCUCACAUCAACGAGUGACAUGCAUAAAGAGGGUUCUCUAAAAUGAUAGUCAAAACUCAGAAGUUUCAGAAAUAACCUGAAUAGCAGUAAUACGAUCUGCAGAUAUUUCACCAGGGAGGAAGUCAAGGGUUUUUCCAUUCUUUUCAAGAGUUAUCUGCUCUGCCUUCUUGUUUAGAGAAUCUCUUUUGCUGUUUGAAGGACUGCCUUCCACAGAGUGAACAUGUGCGGGGAUUCAAGGUAUGAUUAACUUCUGAUAGUUAUUUUAUGACAAUAACUUACUGCAAGGCUGAGAUACAAACAAGGGAACUUACAACUUGUACAUCUUGCUCACCAUCAUGUCGUGAAUAUUCAUGACCAACUGCAAAAUUAUCAAAAAAAAAAAAAAAAACUAUUAAAAGGGGAAAAGUGCAAUCUUAAUUUAGAGGAAAAUUUUGGUAUACCAGUCACUUUAUCUGAAAAUAUAUGGUGAUUGGAAUGAAUACCUCCAGAGCCAUAAGUGCAUCUUCCAUAGCUCGCUGCUUGGCAGCAAAGUCAGCACGCCUUAAAUCAGCCUGAGUAUGAAAAAUAGUAACUAUAUGUGCUUAUAACAAUGCUAACCAUAUAAUAAAUAAAACAUCACAGGAAUUUGUGAGAUGAAUAAGUUCACCUAACAACAUUUGGCGAAGCGACAUCAAAGAGGAAAGACAAAAACUGACUUUAGAUCAAGGACACAGUCAGAAAAAGAUAGGCAUUCGGUUGAUGUAGUGCAGCUAAUGUGGCCGCAAUAUUGCAUCCCAUUAACUAAAUAUGCCUCCUUUGCAAGGAGGAUACCAUUUGGGACAAUAAAGAGGCCCUUCUAAUUAUACCAUCCAUUCCAAUAUGAAUAAACAAUCACAAUAUGCUACCCCCCAAACAUUGACACCGUAAAUCAAGAUUGCAGCAAGUGACAAUAGGCAAACCUCUAGAGCACCAUCACUCCAAUGUUUAUCGGCAGCACUUUUUAGCUUUGAUUGAGCUUUGUUUUUCAGAAUCUGGCGAGGAAAACAUAAACAACUCAGAAAUCUACCCAGGAAAAGAUAGUUCCAGUAAUAAAAAAAAUCCUAAUUUCAGUGACAAUUUGACGGAUCAUAAUCCCUUACCAUGGCAACGUGAUGAAGCCUUUCAGCUUUACGUUUUACGUCAUGGUCAAUUUUCUCAGUACCUUCCCUGGCCCGAGCUAUCAAAGAAAUGAAGUCAACUCUCUAAAUACACUGAUGAUUACUUAAUUAAUGACAAAUCUGACAUGGACCAUGAAUUUCGUUUGAGCAAUCCUGCAUACGAAACUUCACAGUGACCUUUUCUUCUUGACAUAUUUCUUUCAUUUUAGUUUUUGGUCAGGAAGAAAGUUCAAUAUGUUGGAAUUCGGUCCUUGCAUUUGUAAUAAGGAAAUUUCCUAAAUGCAACCAAAUUGUACAAGUAAAGAAACCAAAAAUAGAAGAGUAAGUACAACAAAGGGAGAAAGGCAACAUUUCAGAUGGUCAACACACAAAGAUCAAUUCAAACAGUCUUUUAAGCCUCUUUUUCCUACAUAAACUAGUAGAUAUCAACACGGGAAGAUAGUGAUGUGAAGAACUCGCUGUGUUUGUUCUUCUUCAUCAUACUUAGAGCUAAAGGGACAGCUGAGGAACUUUUACCAUCGAGCUUGAGGAACUCUGUCCCAAGAAAAGCAAUGUCUUGGCGUGCACGGGCAUCCAAUCUCAUUAUGCCUCUAACAGAAAGAAAAUCCUGUCAGCAGGCGCUUCACUUGAAUGCUAGGUAUUGUUAAUAGCUUGUGAACAGAAAUGUAUUACAUAUUUCAUGCAAGAAUAUGGUCAAAAAGUUGGAGAAAAUCUACCAAAAAGUUACUGUUUGAUACGUUUCAAAUAAUUCAAUCUACCCUUCAAUAUUGAGAAAUGAAGAAUAAGGACUUAUUUGCUGGUCCGAUUUCCAUAAAAAAUAUUGAUCAAAUAUUAGUCAUCUCUUUAUCUUUUAUAGAUAGCUCAGGAAUUGUUUCAAGAUUCUAAGUUAACCAUGACUAUGCCAAUGCAAUCUCUGAAAACUGAAUUUUAUGUAUCUCUGAAAUGCGAAUCUCAGAGCCUUGAACUAGUAAUAGUGUAAAGUUUUAGGCAUAAGGAAGAAAACAACAGGACUCCCCAUAGAAUAAAAGAAAUAUCCUGAAAACAACACUUCUACAUAAAGAAGAGUUAAAAUUAUGUGAUCAUUGAACCCACAAUUGUUGUGCAAAAGCUUAUCCAAGAACAGUUGGGGAUUAAAUUUACCGAGAAAGCAAUACAAUGUCAUUUCUAGCCCUCUCAUUCACAAACUUUGCAUCAUUACAAACAUAUUUGCAGGCUUCAGCUAAUCCCUGACUUGAAGAAACAGUUCUUCGAAGCCCAACAGGAUGGUCAUCUUCAACUCGUUCUCUGAUACAUAAGAAUUAAAGUAAUUUACAAUUGAUUCUACACUGAACAUGGUAAAAAUCGAAAAUGUGGAAAGAAUAAAACCGUGACAUUGGAUAGGGGUGAAGAAAGAGAAACAGUACAAGUACUACAUACAUUUUGAGAUUCUGUUCCUACAUAAUUUCAUUGACAACAUGAAAGGUGAAUUAUCUCAUUGAGUAUCUAAACACUGUGAAUUUAGAAAAGCAGAAUGGAAUGUCAAUGCAACCAAAAUCUGACAAGUAAUUUGUAGAUGUUUUUUUUAGACGAUCCAAGCACGACAAUCUCAUGAUUAAAUUGGCCUAAUGGUGACUACUGACUUCACAUCUGGGACAAUUGAUAGUCUGGUGGAAAGCCUCCCAAAGUUCUGAAAUCUGAUAGAUUAUAUACUGGGUCACGUGUGCUAAAAGAGACCGUAUUUAUUUUGUUCAUGUAUCAAAAGUUGCAAUUAUGUAGGAAAGUCACAUGAAUUCCCAAAUUGUGAGUGCAAUAUCAAGAAGCAGAACUGCAAUAUAGAUGACUGCUAAAUAGGAUAUCUGAAUGGAAAUAAACCACUCAUACCUACAUACAUCGGGACAAUCAUCUAAGUGUCUGACACGCUCUCUUGUUUCAGAAUUGCAAGUUUUUGUUGAAUGGCAUGAUAUAGGAUGUCCACGGGAGAAGGCAACAAAAUUAUUUAGCUUUCCCCGUAAAUGCCAGAAGCCCUUGCUAGAGAACGUCAUUUUAAAAAGAGAGAGGUGUCCAUUGCUUCGUCUGCUGGGAUCAAUUUCUUGAUUAAUGGCGGAUAAUUUACUAUGCUGUGGUGAUUGUACAGAUGAAUAAGCAAUGCCGUUGUAAGCCAUAGUUCUAUUAGGUAAUGAAAACCCUGUUGAGACCUAUGUCACCACAGUAGUCAAGAGAUGACGAGAUUGCAAGCAGAAUAUUCAAGAUAGCCUUUUCCCCAGCAAAACCUAAAAGCAGAAACAAAUGAAAAAAAAAUUGAAUUACAGUUCACCUCCAAGGAAAAAUGCAGAAAUUUUAAUUUAGAGAAGUUGACACUAAUCUUCACAAGCAUUAUUUGUUUUACAAGCUCAUUAGUAGAAUUUGCAGCAUUUCACAAGCAUCUUAACGGCAUUUGAAAUCAACUGCAAAACAACUUGACGCUAUAGUUCAGGCAUUGACUAUUUGAUAUGGUGAAAACUCUUUGUAGUCUCCUGAUAUCUUUCUAAGGAUUAGGCUUUAUCAAAGCUAGCUGAAGUCAUUUCCAAAUCCCUAUUUUCUGGAAGUAUUUCUCGAUUUGAACAAUUUGGCAAAGUUUGACACAUUAAGUAGAAAUCUCAAUUUAUCUGAUGAAAUAUGCCACAAUUCCGAGCAGACAUUCGAGAAAUUGAACUGAAAAGACGUUGAAUACUCAAAACAAAGGUAGGUUAACUAGAAUCCAACAUGAGAUGUGGUAAUACGCUAGUAAUAUUACCAUAACUGCAACCAAAUCUUCUUUUCAUCGUCUUCUUUCAAUCAACUAAGAUAUCUUCUUUACUGAGUAGAUAUCCUUAGUCUUAUUACAAGACAGAAUUUUCACAUCUCUUGGUAACCAAGAUAGUCAAAUCCACUACAAAAAAGAUUUCCCAGGAAUUAAAGAUAUUAGCCUAAUCAAAUAUUAUACUAGUCUAAAUACAAUUAAGCUUCACAUAAAAACAGGUGCCAGACAGACAAACAGGGUUGCAAGAAUCCAAACAGAAAGCUAAAUUGCCACGAUCAAUUCUUAAAUGCAUUAUUCGACUUUUAAUCUUCAAGAACUAGUUGAGAAGAAUAAACAAAACCCACAAAGAAGAGAUUAAGCAGGUUCAACUAAAACGUCUGGAAUGUCAACAGUUAAUAAAUAGUGGAAGAAAGUGCAGAAAAGCAGCAGUUUAGGUGGCACUCACCCUUUGGUCAAAAAGGAGAUUACAAUCAAGAGAGGAGGUAGGACUCAGGAGUGUGAGAAUACAGCGGAAUUAUAUAUUUGUCAGAGUUAAGUUACAGCAUUCCAGUUGUAAUAGGUAGGGGUUGAAGGCUGAAGGACUGUGGAGGACCAAGAAAUUGCAAAGAUCGCAAGAAAUUCCAACCACAAACUAAGUUCGUGGCGCGUCAAUUGCCAACGCUAGACUCCAAAACUAGGAUGGGAACAAAUACUCUGUCACUUUCUGCAGUUAAUACGGUAAGACGGAAAAACUUUCCGUUUAAUUAGCACCUCAUUCAUGAUUCAUGACUCCUUGGAUACAACAAAAUUAAUUCCAAAGAAAAUUCUGCAAAAAAAAAGAACGAGCUGGGACCUGUAAGUGUCGGCUUCUGAAGGAAUGGAUAAGCCAGUGCAUGUAAUCAGAUAAAAUAUCAAUUGUCCAAGGAAUAAAAAAAAUUGAAGCGCCAGCGUACACAAAAUUCCAGGUUUGAACCAUGCUAUCACCUUACUAAAAUUGUAAUUGACGGAAUACAAAUUCAAAUCAUAAGGAACUAAGUGAAGAUUCAUUAAUGAUCUUUUUAUGAGUAAUGGAAAAAAAAAAUACAAUUUCCAAAACUCAAGUAAGCAAAGUAGAUUAACAUAACAAUAUAUUGGGUUAGUUUAGCAGUUAGCCUAUAUAUAAUUAAUGUGAUAUGCAGAAUUGAAUAACUUCAGUGUCUGGUGUUACUCGUUCUAAAAAUUACCCAACCAUAGAGUCUGGACAUUGGAGAGGUCUAAAAAUUGCCCAAUUGCACGAUACGUUUCCACCCACCCGCGUAAGGACUGUACACUGUAAUUGUACGUUUAAAAUGUUCAAGUCGAAAUUAUUAAUAAUUGUUAGUUGACAAGCCUCAAAUUUAUAAAAGGAAAAAUCAUUCCUUUUCAUUUUUCCUGAUGUAAGAGGGAACACUCAAAGUAUCACAUAAAAUUAUUGUACAACUUGUGACAAAAAUAUUUCACAAGGUUACAUCGGAGAUCUAGUUGGGAUGGUUGGUUCAGGACUUGAUGUCUCGCAUGACAAAUCAGGAUUCGAAUUUGGCAAAGUUCAAUAAGACAUUGGAGAAGUUAAGCGACAGUCAUGGGGCUUUUGGUUCAGGACCUAAUGUCUCGCCUAACAGAUCAGGAUUCGAAUUUGGCAGCCAAAUUUGAGAUAAGGAGGAAUUAGGGACAGGGAAGAGAGGGAGUUUAAAAAAAAAAAAAAAGACACCAGAAGUUUAUUCUAGCUGUCCUCGUCAGACUUGCACCUUUUGCUACUGCCACAUUAUUACUAUAUGCAGAUUUGCUAUGUGAUGUAACGAGCAUAGUUUUACAUAGAAUUGGUAAAUUGUAGAACUAUGUAAAGGAUAUGAAAGCUAUUAGUUGAAAAGGCUUUCGACCAACUGUUGGAUGCUCUGUUUUGAAACUCGGACCAGACCGGCCGAUCAAACCGAGAACCGGCCAAGUGUCCGAUCUGAAUCAUGGUAAAAAACCGAAAAUUUAAAGUCCGGUCAAAAACCGGAUUUGACCGGGAAAAAAUCGAUUUUUCCGGUUCAAUGGGCAUUUUUUUAAAAAAAAACUCAAUCUUUUCAAUAUUAUGUUUUGGCCCCCUAAAUUGUUAAAAUUUAUUAAUAUACCUCAAAUAUUUCAUACUUUAUAAAUAUUGUCCUAAAAUUUGAUGUUAUUUUUCAAUUAAAUUCAUAAUUUUAAUUCUAAACUUGUUAACAUUUAUUAAAUAACAUAAAUUGCUACUUGAUUGUUCUAAUUUCUUUGUAUUUUCUUGUUAAAUAUAUUUGAAACAUUAAAUAUAUAUGAAUAUACCUUUAUUAAUAUUAACAUAUUAUUUGAUAUUUUAUAUAUAAUAUUUUAAUUUUUAAAUAAUUUUUAUUUAUGACGUCAUCCGGUUCGAUUCCUAUCGACCCCCAGUCGAACCCAUUGAUCCCUGACUUCGGCGGAGUCGAUACCCGGUCCGGUUCUGAAAACAUAGGUUGGAUGUUGAUUUCCCGGGUUAGAAGAUAUCUCCGCUAUUGGAAAUGGGUCACAUUAACUUUUAAACGCCCCAGUUUACCAUUUAAAGUACCUAAUCUCCUCGUGCGAUUGGGCCUGAGCUGCGCCUUUAGCCUUGCCCGACACAAAGGAUCUAGUAUUUUACUUGCUUGCCUUGGUGGCCAGACUUUUUCCAAGAAAGUAGUAAAACAAUCACAAAUCUCAUUUAUAUGGACUUUUUAGACAAAGAUUUUGGUCCAAAAUUUCGGAGUGUGAACAGUACUAUCUGUCCCCAGAAAUUGGUUGAAUAUCACUGUGCAUCCGCCAGAUAAACAAGGGAAAAAAGAGUUGCCAGAUCACUAAAAACAAAGCAGAAAGUCUACGGUACUUUCGUUUAUAGCUCAAAGAAAAUUUUCCAUUCCUGUUAAGAUAAUUUUAGACGUUACCCUAUAUUCAAGUUGUUAAAAAGCAGUUGAAAUAGACAAACAGGUGAAACUAUAGUAGACUAGUGACCUCCAAAGGAUCCCAAACUUUUUCUUUUUCGAAUAAAGUUUGAAUGGAUUUAGUUUCGAUUACUAUUACAAGUUAUGCUCGUUGUUGAAUAACAUUUGGAUGAAUUUCGACUUCGCUCAUACUUACAAGCAGGAGUAGUAUGCUCUGCAAUUAGAGGUUACUUGUAAGAGUUCUUACCAACGUAAUCUUUAUUGGAUUUUUCACAUGUAGCUCUCACAUCAAUACUGGAAUUUGAGCAUAUGAUAUGUAUUAAGAGAGUGAUUGAUCAAUCAGGUUUUAUCAACUGAGCCAAAGUCCAAUCUUCAAAUUGAACAACUACAUACAAGCAACCAAUUACGCCUCACAUGCUGCUGCGGACGUUGUUGCAGUAAACUGAACUAAGGCACAAUCCGUGCCACCGAGUUACAAAUGCAGAGAAACCACAGAUGCUAGUAGCAGUAAGAGGCGGUAAGUGGUAACAAACACCUGUUAAUGGAGAAGACGAGCACUAUUGUAUGUUGUAACACAUGCAUGGUAAAGAGAGAAUCGUCGGUAAAAGUUAAAUUUCAAAUCCGGCCAAUUGGUAAAAGUUAAUUUCAAAUCCAGCCAAUCUCUCUCAUAAAAAGUGAAAAAAUUUACUUUCAAAACCUAACUAAGCCGGGUGGGUAGAUUAGUAAAGCAAUUAAAAAUAAAGUUGGAUCGCAAAAAUUAAACUAAGGAUUUCCAUACGUACAAAUUUUUUCACUGUUUAAAUUUAAGAGUUCUUCCCAGACUACUAUUUUAACUUGUCUCAAAUUAACUGUCUUUCCUACCAUAUGCAAAUUUUACUGUGUGAUUUAAUGAGCUUAGAAUUACUCACUAGUUUGCAAAAUACAAGUUUGAUUGAAUAAUUUGUUAUUUGAAAAAUAUUAUUUGAUUGCAUUGUAAACAUGAUUGUAAUUUUUUUAUAAUUAUUUUUUUAUCUCACAUACAUUACCUUAUUAAAAAAGUGAUGCAUUAUUAUGAAUUUCAAAUAAUUCUCUAGCAUUCAUCGCUUCCUAAAAACAAUUGGGCCUGAAGCGCCUAAGCUGGACUUAUCUACUAGGGUCUUACUUUCAUCGUGGUCUACGGCUUCUAGGCUAUCAUCCGAGCAUCUUCUGCCCAACUAACCUUUGGGCUUAAUAUCUCAGCUUCAACUUCUGCGCGCGCACGCGUGUCUUUUUUUUUUUUUUAAGUUAUUGAAGAUCUGAUCGAAAAAGUUCGUUAAAGAAUUAAAACUUGUCUGAACGAAAAUUUACUUGUAGGGAGGUUUGGUUUUUUACAACUUAGGAGACGAGAAGCACCAUAUAUGAGGGCAAAUUUUAAUCUCAUCCGUGAAAUUAACAGUAAAAUGAGGAAAAGGUGUGCUUUGGAUAAGGAGUAACUACUAGUGAUAGGGCACGAAAUGGAGGAUGGACAAAAGAAAGACGAUGAACCCAACAGACGUGACGUCUCGAGGCGAUAACAACAGUAGUUUGGUACGGGCAAUUGACGUCGAGUUCAGACAAAUUGAGUUCGAAAAUCUCCUGCUCUCUUGGUGUUCUGCAUCUGAGAGCUCAGGCUGCAAUUCAUGGGGCGAGACACAUUGCUUAACAAUGUCUACAUCAAAAUCAAUCGAUUCGUCAUGGUAGAGAAGAAAAAUAGUGCACGGACCGUACUCGAGCUUUGGAUCAAUGUCCCCAGAAGGAAGGAGUAUACUCACGUGUUUCAAUUAGAACACCCAAAAAACCUAAUUCAACUCUACAUAAGACAGCCAAAGUUCAUUAAGCAAUUGACAUGAUAUAUUUACUCACAUUCCAGACAAAGGUCAUAAUUUGCAAGAACAUUCUACAAUCUUAAUAAGAGGGGUAGACUGAUUUGGCUUUUUUUUAGUGGAUUCUCUCUUCAUUUUUCACAAUAUAUAUCUGAACGCAUGACAUGUGUUUUCAUUUAUUAGAAAGGGACAUGAUCAUUUUAAAUUUGACUAAUCCUAAUCCAUGUUAAUAAAUAAAGACACAUGUCAUGCAUCCAUAUGUGUACUACGAGAAAUGGAGUGGAAAUCCACCGGAGAGAAGCCAAGUUUGUAAGAUGGAAAACAAAAAAAAAAAAAAAAAAAAGGAAGGCUAGGGACUCCUCUCUUCCACCUUCUUCAUCUUUCUCGCUUUGUAGGCUACAAAAAUUAAGGGCAAUUGGGACUUCCGUUCUUAUUCUUGAAAUUGUUGUAGCGAGAUCAAGUUUGUUUGUUGCCGGAAGAGCCCGAGGCGCACACAAGCAUUUUGCACAGCAUUGAAGACAGAAAAACAUGCAUGCAUGGCUUCUUGUGGGAUGCCGCCGAGCAGCUAUAUGUACAUAUUGGCCUGCAAUCUGCACAAUGUUAUCAAAGGGAAAAAGAAAAAAACAGAUGCUUAAUUACAAUAUAUUCCAAACAAUGUCAUUUUUACAAAAUUAAAAUAUUUGUAGGGAAUAAAAUUUGAAAUUAAACAUACCCUGUGGACGAAGUUGGUUGUAACCCUUCCCCGAAAGGGAAAAAAAAAAUCCAAAAACUGAACAACAAAGAAAGAAGAUGUAAGGGACAAUUAUUAUCCACUGAAUAUUUACAUAUUCUUAGAGCAAAAGUUCUAAAAGAAGAAAAACUAAUCUGUUUCAUUACCUCAGCUACACUGGAAAAGGUAAUAAAUAUAUAUAAGCAAUGAGAAAAUCAAGAACCGACUAGCAUUGCAGGCACGAGUACCCAAUGCCAUCUUUCUCUUUUAAGAUUUCUUCGUAAAACUAUAAUAGUGAGGUAGUAGAAUAAUGCUAAUCCAGAAGUGGUAAGAGUUGAAUUCACACACACACACACACAUAUAUAUAGAAGAUUUAUCAAGGACAUGUACAGAAGGAUGAUUGCAGAAUAGGGAAAUAAAGUGCAUUCUUUAAGCCGCCAACAUUGAAAUUUGACACAGGAAAUGUAAUUUCGCCGUAUGAUACCAAAAAAUAAUCAUCGUGAAAAGAGGUGGUGAAGGCGUCGUGGACUGGUUGCCGCCUGAUAUAUCGUGUAACGAUUUUGUUUUAAAACUGCUGUGUUAAUUUGGGAGCAUCAUUUUUGUCAAGGUUUUAACAUGUCGGCAGGUUGUCUUUUGUUCUGCUUGUGAGUGUCAUUUCUGUCGAGUUUUUCACAUGUCGGACGAUUGUCUUUUGUUUUGUUUGUUGAUUAGUACAACUUUCAUUGGCAAGUCGCAACUAAACAUUAAUAUAUCCUUGACUUUGUUUCUUUCUUAGUGGUAAGUAGCAUUUUUAAUUGACAAUCGACAACUAAUAGGUAAAAGGAAAAUGUCGACAUCACAGAUAGCGUCCAUAACCAUAUAACUCAUCAAUUUCUCAAUCUAAUCCUAUCUUUAUUAUAAAUUUAGAUAUGCCUACCCUGAAAAAUGAGCACUCCCCAAUUGAAUCAUGAGUGAAUGAUGAUGAACCCUUGGUUGGUAUGUCUAAACACACAGAACUGACAAAAGUAAUGGAUAGGUGCAGUGCUGUCCACCCAAAAAAAAUGCAGCAGAUGGAAAUAGUAAUUUAAAAGAAUCACUAUUUAUUUUAAAAAAGUUUUAUGAUCUUCUUCUUUCAGUUGGGAGAAACAAUCUAAUAAUAGAUUUUAACAUAUCUAAUUUGAGUUGCUUGAUUUGAUAUCUAUACGUGAUUCUUCUCAACCCCAUCAGCUAACCCAAGGUCGAACGUCAAAUUCCAGAGCCAAAUGGGCGUUGUUCUAUCUUGACUCCAAAUAGUCUUGCCAGAAGAUGAAGAUGAACAUAUGAUAACCAUUCAAUAAAAAAGAAUUACAGUUCGCUCAUGCUAUGAAUUGAUUUUUAACACGAAUGUUUGACAAGAAAAGUUAUAAUAAACCUGAAGCUGUGAAAACAUAAUGGGUAAAUCAUUCUUGGUAAAGAAUUUAGGUGCCAAAUAACGCAAUACAUACCAGUAACUCCUGAUCCAAGUUAUAAAAGAACAGAGAAGAUAAAUGAGUAGAACUACAGUAGUGGACUAGUGUCCUCCUCCUGGAUCCCAAACUUCUAGUUGUAGAGACAACACAAAUAACAGCUCUAUUUUCCCCAAAGUAGUUGAAUGGAAAGGGCCAAUGACCCUCCAACGCACCAAAAAAAAAAAUAACAGCUCCAUGCAGCCAAUUACAGCUGACAUGCUGCUGCUAACGCCGUGCGGUAAAACUUUAUGAAUGAAAGGCAGAAUCUCGGCCACCAAAUGACAAAUGCAGAGAGAGCACACCAAGUAUCUCUAGCACUAGGAGGAGGUACAUAGACUUGUUGAUGACAGAGAUGAGCAAUUGCGGUACUUCUAACACGCAACAUGGAUAAGAAGAGAAGUAAUAGUUUAAAAAAAAAAAAAAUCAAAUCGGGUUGAUCUCCACAGUUCUUCAGCGCACAUAUGAAUAAUUCAGUAAGCAGGAAAACCACUGUAACAUUGCCAACAUCAACAAAAUGUCAAGAGAAUUCAAUUCUCAAUUUAAUUUGGAAUGAACAUAAGAGAGACAACACCGUUAAACGACUACAGUAAAAACAACACGAAUUAUGUUUCUUAGUUUUCUAUACCUAUGCUCCCUGAACUCGACAAGAUUUGGUUGAAGGAAGGUUCUAAAAGGAUCUCGAUCUCUUACCCAUUUUGUUAUGGGCGUCUAGCUUCUCUAUGCCGGGUAUAAUUUAGACAUGUA